CAAAAACAUAACCAAAUGAUAAUAUAUUUGGCGCUUUCUGCUCAAUGAUAUAAUUAAAUAGCCGCAGUACCUUGACUGUGCAAAGGUAGCAUAAUCAAUUGGCUCAUAAUUGGAGUCUAGAAUGAAUGGAUAUACGGGAAGUUACUGUAUCAAAUGUUUUUAUUGAAGUUGGAUUUCAAGUGCAAAUUCUUGUAGGUAAUUGUUAGACGAGAAGACCCUAGAAAUUUGAAUAUACGUUUGGUUGGGGCAACAUAGUAGGAGUAAACCUACAGUAUGGACUUAAAAAUUAAUUAAAAAGAAUAAAUUACUCUAGGGAUAACAGCAUAAUUUAAAAAAGUUUGUGACCUCGAUGUUGGAUUUGGGAAUUAUAGUUCAGAAGACUUUUAAUAUUGCUCUGUUCGAGCAUAGUAC
RNAcentral lists this ribosomal RNA (411 nucleotides) under Rhagada bulgana. Its description in RNAcentral is "partial 16S ribosomal RNA". It matches the Rfam family "Bacterial large subunit ribosomal RNA", at positions 1808 to 2593 of the family's 2925-position model. Lineage: Eukaryota; Metazoa; Mollusca; Gastropoda; Stylommatophora; Camaenidae. The record is from RNAcentral.